RNAcentral lists this ribosomal RNA (2927 nucleotides) under Salmonella enterica subsp. enterica serovar Give. RNAcentral's name for it is "bacterial LSU rRNA". It matches the Rfam family "Bacterial large subunit ribosomal RNA". Lineage: Bacteria; Pseudomonadati; Pseudomonadota; Gammaproteobacteria; Enterobacterales; Enterobacteriaceae. The record is from RNAcentral.
GGGUUGUGAGGUUAAGCGACUAAGCGUACACGGUGGAUGCCCUGGCAGUCAGAGGCGAUGAAGGACGUGCUAAUCUGCGAUAAGCGCCGGUAAGGUGAUAUGAACCGUUAUAACCGGCGAUUUCCGAAUGGGGAAACCCAGUGUGACUCGUCACACUAUCAUUAACUGAAUCCAUAGGUUAAUGAGGCGAACCGGGGGAACUGAAACAUCUAAGUACCCCGAGGAAAAGAAAUCAACCGAGAUUCCCCCAGUAGCGGCGAGCGAACGGGGAGGAGCCCAGAGCCUGAAUCAGCAUAUGUGUUAGUGGAAGCGUCUGGAAAGGCGCGCGAUACAGGGUGACAGCCCCGUACACAAAAGCGCAUGUGCUGUGAGCUCGAUGAGUAGGGCGGGACACGUGGUAUCCUGUCUGAAUAUGGGGGGACCAUCCUCCAAGGCUAAAUACUCCUGACUGACCGAUAGUGAACCAGUACCGUGAGGGAAAGGCGAAAAGAACCCCGGCGAGGGGAGUGAAAAAGAACCUGAAACCGUGUACGUACAAGCAGUGGGAGCACCCUUUGGGGUGUGACUGCGUACCUUUUGUAUAAUGGGUCAGCGACUUAUAUUCUGUAGCAAGGUUAACCGAAUAGGGGAGCCGGAGGGAAACCGAGUCUUAACCGGGCGUUAAGUUGCAGGGUAUAGACCCGAAACCCGGUGAUCUAGCCAUGGGCAGGUUGAAGGUUGGGUAACACUAACUGGAGGACCGAACCGACUAAUGUUGAAAAAUUAGCGGAUGACCUGUGGCUGGGGGUGAAAGGCCAAUCAAACCGGGAGAUAGCUGGUUCUCCCCGAAAGCUAUUUAGGUAGCGCCUCGUGAAUUCAUCUCCGGGGGUAGAGCACUGUUUCGGCUAGGGGGCCAUCCCGGCUUACCAACCCGAUGCAAACUGCGAAUACCGGAGAAUGUUAUCACGGGAGACACACGGCGGGUGCUAACGUCCGUCGUGAAGAGGGAAACAACCCAGACCGCCAGCUAAGGUCCCAAAGUCAUGGUUAAGUGGGAAACGAUGUGGGAAGGCCCAGACAGCCAGGAUGUUGGCUUAGAAGCAGCCAUCAUUUAAAGAAAGCGUAAUAGCUCACUGGUCGAGUCGGCCUGCGCGGAAGAUGUAACGGGGCUAAACCAUGCACCGAAGCUGCGGCAGCGACGCUGAUGCGUUGUUGGGUAGGGGAGCGUUCUGUAAGCCUGCGAAGGUGGCCUGUGAGGGUUGCUGGAGGUAUCAGAAGUGCGAAUGCUGACAUAAGUAACGAUAAAGCGGGUGAAAAGCCCGCUCGCCGGAAGACCAAGGGUUCCUGUCCAACGUUAAUCGGGGCAGGGUGAGUCGACCCCUAAGGCGAGGCCGAAAGGCGUAGUCGAUGGGAAACGGGUUAAUAUUCCCGUACUUGGUGUUACUGCGAAGGGGGGACGGAGAAGGCUAUGUUGGCCGGGCGACGGUUGUCCCGGUUUAAGCGUGUAGGUGUGUGUUCCAGGUAAAUCCGGUUCACUUUAACACUGAGGCGUGAUGACGAGGCACUACGGUGCUGAAGCAACAAAUGCCCUGCUUCCAGGAAAAGCCUCUAAGCAUCAGGUAACAUCAAAUCGUACCCCAAACCGACACAGGUGGUCAGGUAGAGAAUACCAAGGCGCUUGAGAGAACUCGGGUGAAGGAACUAGGCAAAAUGGUGCCGUAACUUCGGGAGAAGGCACGCUGACACGUAGGUGAAGUGAUUUACUCAUGGAGCUGAAGUCAGUCGAAGAUACCAGCUGGCUGCAACUGUUUAUUAAAAACACAGCACUGUGCAAACACGAAAGUGGACGUAUACGGUGUGACGCCUGCCCGGUGCCGGAAGGUUAAUUGAUGGGGUCAGCGCAAGCGAAGCUCCUGAUCGAAGCCCCGGUAAACGGCGGCCGUAACUAUAACGGUCCUAAGGUAGCGAAAUUCCUUGUCGGGUAAGUUCCGACCUGCACGAAUGGCGUAAUGAUGGCCAGGCUGUCUCCACCCGAGACUCAGUGAAAUUGAACUCGCUGUGAAGAUGCAGUGUACCCGCGGCAAGACGGAAAGACCCCGUGAACCUUUACUAUAGCUUGACACUGAACAUUGAGCCUUGAUGUGUAGGAUAGGUGGGAGGCUUUGAAGUGUGGACGCCAGUCUGCAUGGAGCCGGCCUUGAAAUACCACCCUUUAAUGUUUGAUGUUCUAACGUGGACCCGUGAUCCGGGUUGCGGACAGUGUCUGGUGGGUAGUUUGACUGGGGCGGUCUCCUCCUAAAGAGUAACGGAGGAGCACGAAGGUUGGCUAAUCCUGGUCGGACAUCAGGAGGUUAGUGCAAUGGCAUAAGCCAGCUUGACUGCGAGCGUGACGGCGCGAGCAGGUGCGAAAGCAGGUCAUAGUGAUCCGGUGGUUCUGAAUGGAAGGGCCAUCGCUCAACGGAUAAAAGGUACUCCGGGGAUAACAGGCUGAUACCGCCCAAGAGUUCAUAUCGACGGCGGUGUUUGGCACCUCGAUGUCGGCUCAUCACAUCCUGGGGCUGAAGUAGGUCCCAAGGGUAUGGCUGUUCGCCAUUUAAAGUGGUACGCGAGCUGGGUUUAGAACGUCGUGAGACAGUUCGGUCCCUAUCUGCCGUGGGCGCUGGAGAACUGAGGGGGGCUGCUCCUAGUACGAGAGGACCGGAGUGGACGCAUCACUGGUGUUCGGGUUGUCAUGCCAAUGGCACUGCCCGGUAGCUAAAUGCGGAAGAGAUAAGUGCUGAAAGCAUCUAAGCACGAAACUUGCCCCGAGAUGAGUUCUCCCUGAGACUUAGAGUCUCCUGAAGGAACGUUGAAGACGACGACGUUGAUAGGCCGGGUGUGUAAGCGCAGCGAUGCGUUGAGCUAACCGGUACUAAUGAACCGUGAGGCUUAACCUUACAACGCCGAAG